GUAAGGGCGACUGAAAAGGGAUCAGCCCAGCGCGUAGGCUGCAGGUUCGCCUCACUUCGAUGGGAAACGGAUCUGUGAGCGAUGCCGCGUGUGGGAGGGAUCAAGGGAUCGCUCGUUCCGUCUCGAAGUAUGUAUUGAUUGUUGUCUCGCUGCCCAUAGAGGGUGUUAGGCCCGUAGAGCCUGUUCGAGAUAUCCCGUUGAUUCCUCUCGAGAGUCGGGUUGCUUGAAAGUGCAGCCCUAAGUAGGUGGUAAACUCCAUCUAAGGCUAAAUAUUACCACGAGACCGAUAGCGUACAAGUACCGCGAGGGAAAGUUGAAAAGAACUCUGAAGAGAGAGUUCAAUAGAGCGUGAAACUACCACGAGGUUAAAGCGAGUGGGCGUUCGUGUCCGAAAUGUCCAGGAAUCAACCUACUCCUGACGAAAACGACAAGAGGGUCGCAGGCGCAUUUAAACGGAUCUUCUCUCGUGCGUUCGUCUACAAGUACGGCCUCGAGAGUAGACUGGCGUUUCCUCUUGGGCGCUCUUAAGGGGGGUGCUCUUCUGUUCGAAGUAGGACGUCGCGGCCGUUCACGCGGUGUCGAAGACUCGGAGGUCAUGGAAACCGUAUCUUCUUUCUCUUUCGUCGUCUCGCGGCGGCGAUCGAGUGGUCGAGCGGGGCCGCUCCGGUGAUCUGACGGCCGCUGGGACGGUUAAAUCAUGCCUAAAGCGGGCCUGUGACGGGGUAGUGGAUUCGUCCUCGACCGCUUCUUCUUCUUCUUUUCAAAAAAGGGAUGAUGAAGUGGGAGA
RNAcentral lists this ribosomal RNA (787 nucleotides) under Deto marina. RNAcentral describes it as "eukaryotic LSU rRNA". It matches the Rfam family "Eukaryotic large subunit ribosomal RNA", at positions 83 to 680 of the family's 3401-position model. The record is from RNAcentral. Lineage: Eukaryota; Metazoa; Arthropoda; Malacostraca; Isopoda; Scyphacidae.